This 497-nucleotide ribosomal RNA is filed under the name uncultured bacterium. RNAcentral describes it as "partial 16S ribosomal RNA". It matches the Rfam family "Bacterial small subunit ribosomal RNA", at positions 28 to 507 of the family's 1533-position model. The record is from RNAcentral.
GAUGAACGCUGGCGGCGUGCCUAAUACACGUAAGUCGAGCGAACGGACGAGAAGCUUGCUUCUCUGAUGUUAGCGGCGGACGGGUGAGUAACACGUGGAUAACCUACCUAUAAGACUGGGAUAACUUCGGGAAACCGGAGCUAAUACCGGAUAAUAUUUUGAACCGCAUGGUUCAAAAGUGAAAGACGGUCUUGCUGUCACUUAUAGAUGGAUCCGCGCUGCAUUAGCUAGUUGGUAAGGUAACGGCUUACCAAGGCAACGAUGCAUAGCCGACCUGAGAGGGUGAUCGGCCACACUGGAACUGAGACAAGGUCCAGACUCCUACGGGAGGCAGCAGUAGGGAAUCUUCCGCAAUGGGCGAAAGCCUGACGGAGCAACGCCGCGUGCGUGAUGAAGGUCUUCGGAUCGUAAAACUCUGUUAUUAGGGAAGAACAUAUGUGUAAGUAACUGUGCACAUCUUGACGGUACCUAAUCAGAAAGCCACGGCUAACUACGUG